UCCUACGGGAGGCAGCAGUGGGGAAUUUUGGACAAUGGGCGCAAGCCUGAUCCAGCCAUGCCGCGUGCGGGAAGAAGGCCUUCGGGUUGUAAACCGCUUUUGUCAGGGAAGAAAAGGUUCUGGCUAAUACCUGGGACUCAUGACGGUACCUGAAGAAUAAGCACCGGCUAACUACGUGCCAGCACCCGCGGUAAUA
This 196-nucleotide ribosomal RNA is filed under the name uncultured bacterium. RNAcentral describes it as "partial 16S ribosomal RNA". It matches the Rfam family "Bacterial small subunit ribosomal RNA", at positions 337 to 525 of the family's 1533-position model. The record is from RNAcentral.